RNAcentral lists this ribosomal RNA (254 nucleotides) under uncultured bacterium. Its description in RNAcentral is "partial 16S ribosomal RNA". It matches the Rfam family "Bacterial small subunit ribosomal RNA", at positions 524 to 776 of the family's 1533-position model. The record is from RNAcentral.
UACGUAGGGCGCAAGCGUUGUCCGGAAUUAUUGGGCGUAAAGAGCUCGUAGGCGGUCUGUCACGUCUGCCGUGAAAACCCGAGGCUUAACCUCGUGGCUUGCGGUGGAUACGGGCAGACUAGAGGUAGGUAGGGGAGAAUGGAAUUCCCGGUGUAGCGGUGAAAUGCGCAGAUAUCAGGAAGAACACCCGUGGCGAAGGCGGCUCUCUGGGACGGUACUGACGCUGAGACGCGAAAGCGUGGGGAGCGAACAGG